RNAcentral lists this ribosomal RNA (320 nucleotides) under uncultured bacterium. RNAcentral describes it as "bacterial SSU rRNA". It matches the Rfam family "Bacterial small subunit ribosomal RNA", at positions 27 to 334 of the family's 1533-position model. The record is from RNAcentral.
GAUUGAACGCGUAGCUACAGGCUUAACACAUGCAAGUCGAGGGGCGAGCAUUUCGAGUUUGCUUGCAAACUGGAGAUGGCGACCGGCGCACGGGUGAGUAACACGUAUCCAACCUGCCGAUAACUCGGGGAUAGCCUUUCGAAAGAAAGAUUAAUACCCGAUGGCAUAAUUAGACCGCAUGGUCUUAUUAUUAAAGAAUUUCGGUCAUCGAUGGGGAUGCGUUCCAUUAGGUUGUUGGCGGGGUAACGGCCCACCAAGCCUUCGAUGGAUAGGGGUUCUGAGAGGAAGGUCCCCCACAUUGGUACUGAGACACGGACCAA